RNAcentral lists this ribosomal RNA (253 nucleotides) under uncultured bacterium. Its description in RNAcentral is "partial 16S ribosomal RNA". It matches the Rfam family "Bacterial small subunit ribosomal RNA", at positions 524 to 776 of the family's 1533-position model. The record is from RNAcentral.
UACGAAGGGGGCUAGCGUUGUUCGGAAUCACUGGGCGUAAAGCGCACGUAGGCGGAUGUGCCAGUCAGGGGUGAAAUCCCGGAGCUCAACUUCGGAACUGCCUCUGAUACAGCACGUCUUGAGUCCGGAAGAGGUGGGUGGAAUUCCUAGUGUAGAGGUGAAAUUCGUAGAUAUUAGGAAGAACACCGGUGGCGAAGGCGGCCCACUGGUCCGGUACUGACGCUGAGGUGCGAAAGCGUGGGGAGCGAACAGG